This 253-nucleotide ribosomal RNA is filed under the name uncultured bacterium. RNAcentral describes it as "partial 16S ribosomal RNA". It matches the Rfam family "Bacterial small subunit ribosomal RNA", at positions 524 to 776 of the family's 1533-position model. The record is from RNAcentral.
UACAGAGGUCCCAAGCGUUGUUCGGAUUUACUGGGCGUAAAGGGUGCGUAGGUGGUCGGGUAAGUUUGAUGUGAAAUCUCCAAGCUCAACUUGGAAAAUGCAUUGAAUACUACUUGGCUUGAGGUUCGGAGGGGAGACUGGAAUUCUCGGUGUAGCGGUGAAAUGCGUAGAUAUCGAGAGGAACACCAGUGGCGAAAGCGAGUCUCUGGACGGAUCCUGACACUGAGGCACGAAAGCUAGGGGAUCAAACAGG